Molecule: ribosomal RNA, 497 nt
Filed under: uncultured bacterium
Lineage: Bacteria
Description: partial 16S ribosomal RNA
Rfam family: Bacterial small subunit ribosomal RNA
Source: RNAcentral
GAUGAACGCUGGCGGCGUGCCUAAUACAUGCAAGUCGAGCGAACAGAUGAGGAGCUUGCUCCUCUGACGUUAGCGGCGGACGGGUGAGUAACACGUGGAUAACCUACCUAUAAGACUGGGAUAACUUCGGGAAACCGGAGCUAAUACCGGAUAAUAUAUUGAACCGCAUGGUUCAUUAGUGAAAGACGGUUUUGCUGUCACUAAUAGAUGGAUCCGCGCCGGAUUAGCUAGUUGGUAAGGUAACGGCUUACCAAGGCAACGAUGCGUAGCCGACCUGAGAGGGUGAUCGGCCACACUGGAACUGAGACACGGUCCAGACUCCUACGGGAGGCAGCAGUAGGGAAUCUUCCGCAAUGGGCGAAAGCCUGACGGAGCAACGCCGCGUGAGUGAUGAAGGUCUUCGGAUCGUAAAACUCUGUUAUUAGGGAAGAACAAAUGUGUAAGUAACUAUGCACGUCUUGACGGUACCUACACAGAAAGCCACGGCUAACUACGUG